UCCCUGGAUCUCAUUUCUCCCGUUAACCGCGGGGCUGAGCGCUCGGCUCCGUUUCGGUCGUUAAUUCCCCACAAAUCCAGCUUUAUUUUGCAGGGGGACCCAGGGCCAGCACUGGCAUUGGUGAGGGCUGAGCUCGAUUGGGCCGGGGAGGGGGGAAGCGGUCUGAGCCCCCAGAUGAGCCCCUAUCCAUCCUUCACUCAUAUAUAUAUGCGUUUAUAUAUAUAAAUACAUAUAUAUGUGGGGUUUAUGAUUAUUUUUCCUGACUUCCCAUUCACCGAGAGGUGGGAAAAACACUUAUUUAGUGUCGUCGUCCCCCCCCCCCCCCCAGUGUCAUUCAGCGAUGGCCAUGGGAGCACAAAGAAGGUGCCACAGCUCGGGUGGGGAGGGUUAAGAAGGGCUCGCUGCCUGCUCCCAAACCUGCCCCCUCGGCGGGAUAACCGCGGGAUAAGUGCGGGAUAACUCUCCGCUGCCUGCCCUGCCCAUGGAUUGCGGGCAAAAGCGCGUUUAUUGAUGAUCUUUUAAAACCCAACUCAACCCGGGACCGGACAACUCGGGGGUGAGAUGAGUCUAAUUAUUGCUGGUUCUAAAAAGAGCUGGAACACCCAAGUAGGGCUUAACUCGUCUCCUGGGAAACUGAUGGAGACCUAUUUUACAAGCUGUAAUUCUGCUUUAGACUAUUGCAGGCUAAAGGCAGUUCACACUGUCCUCUUUCUUCUAGAAAUAGUCCUAAUCCUGUAUUUCGGCCGGGUAAAGUCCGCUUCUGCUCCGCACUAGAUUAAUCCAGAAACCACAUAAAACCAGCCCCUUUCCAGGGGAGAGGAGUCGUUUCCCUGGCAGGGCACAGCGCAGCCAGGUGAGGCAGCCCCGAAGCCACUUGGAUGGGCACCGGAGGAGCACCGCAACAGCGGGCCCCUCCUGCUCCCCACUGGCCACGGGCUCCUUGUUUCAAUAAGCCAAGGGGCAGGAGAGCCCCGGACACAUCACCCGCUGCAGAUAACACGGAUUUCUGCAGCAGGGAGAGCUCUACCUGCCCAAACUGCCCACCACCAGUGCCAGCGUGUAAGGCCAGAGCAAGGUGCUCUCCCUGUGGCUUCCUGCUGGUUUUGCCUCACACCAGCAGUAAAAAGAAUGAUCCUCAUCUCUCCAUGGCUGGGAAACAUCUGCAAACAGCACGGGGAAGUGGGAAUGCGGUGAUUUUACUUCCCACCCUGUAUUGAAAGCAUCGAGAUUGAAGGAUUUUGGAGACCCCUGAGCUGUUUUGUGUGUCACCGUCAGCAUCAGGGCUUCACCAUCUGCCUGCACUUACCCCCCUCCAUUCGUUGUGAUAAUGGCACAAGAAAUCAGUGUCGGGGGGAGCUGGGGCAAACUUCUGGGCUCCACCGAGCGCGCUGCUGCCGUGUACAGAUCCCUUAUUAAAGCCACAGAUUCCCAUCU
This is a long non-coding RNA of Neopsephotus bourkii (Bourke's parrot), 1434 nucleotides long. RefSeq lists it as uncharacterized. The record is from RefSeq and is a predicted model, not a curated record. NCBI's taxonomy places the organism in Eukaryota, Metazoa, Chordata, Aves, Psittaciformes, Psittacidae. The transcript has 2 exons.